GGGCUGUAGCUCAGUGGGAGAACAUCUGCUUGGAAUGCAGAAGUCCAGGUUCAAUCCCUGGGAGCUACA
Podarcis lilfordi (Lilford's wall lizard) is the source of this 69-nucleotide non-coding RNA. Lineage: Eukaryota; Metazoa; Chordata; Lepidosauria; Squamata; Lacertidae. The record is from the annotation of a GenBank genome assembly.